UCUAUACCCGGAAGGCUGCGCUUGCGCAGUGUUGUUCUCCCAGUGCUUCUCCUUGUGCCUUUAUUGUGGUUCUCCUUGUUGUUCUCCGAGUCUUCUCCUUGUAAUUAUCCCAGUCCUCUUUGUGCUUCUCUGAGUCCGACAAUAUAACUAUCAUAACAACCCAUAAUUCCGUGCAGUCUGAGAUAGAGUGUUAUAAAGUACAGUAGUAUAGUAUAGUAUUAUAGUAGAGUAGUCUCCAGUCCAGCCAGAUCCCAUAUGACUACACUUUGUGGUUUGAUGCAAAAUUUCAAACUCAUCGGAGCCGUGAAUUGGUGUGCACGUAUAUUUAAGCGAUCUUCAAUUCCUCAAAUCAUUUCGUAGUGACAGUGUUCCUUUCUUUCAUGUAGUCCUGGAAUUAUUUUAGCCUAGUCGUUUAGUCGGACAAGAGAUGGACAUCCCUCUUCAUCUCCUUGCGCCAUUGCUUCGUACGAGCUGCAACACUAUCGUCAUACAGCUGCGUGUGAAUGCACAUGUGCAUCUUACCUGGCGAUGAGCAUGACCCUCCCCCCGAUUGAAUUGUUGUAUAAAUUCGUGCAAGCUGCAACACUAUCGCCAUACAGCUGAGUAUGAAUGCACAUGUGCAUCUUACCUGGUGAUGAGAAUGACCCUCCCCCCAAUUGAAUUGUUGUAUAAAUUCGUGCAAGGUAAGUAAAAUAGUUUACUAAGUCUUGCUGUUAGGUAAAUCGGGGGAGGAUUUUUUCAACAACUCUACAGUACCUGUAGACACGUAUGGGUUGUGAUGGUGAUUGAGUUAUUACGGUUGUCAUCAAAGAGUUGAUAUGAUGGGGGUUGCGAUGGUGAUUGGGUUAGCAUAACGAUAGGAUCUGUACACAUAACAACAAGAUUUGCUAAUAGGGUAUAUACAUGUAGCACCUGUACACACAUACAUGUAAGAUGCUUAUUACAGUCCAUUUCAAAACUAUAGACGCGUACCUAGGCAAAAACCGUUAUGCCAGCAUCUAUACCACAUAAAAUCUGUGAUCACCUUGUGCAUAAUUUUUUCCAAAUAGGGCAUCUGUUAUCCAAUCGUUUAGAAACUCUAUGAGAGUAAUUGUGGAGCGGACCUGAGCAAUAUUCCGAAAACUAAUC
Sycon ciliatum is the source of this 1128-nucleotide long non-coding RNA. RefSeq lists it as uncharacterized. NCBI's taxonomy places the organism in Eukaryota, Metazoa, Porifera, Calcarea, Leucosolenida, Sycettidae. The transcript has 3 exons. The record is from RefSeq and is a predicted model, not a curated record.